RNAcentral lists this long non-coding RNA (1143 nucleotides) under Callithrix jacchus (white-tufted-ear marmoset). RNAcentral's name for it is "lncRNA (ENSCJAG00000084472.1)". The record is from RNAcentral. Lineage: Eukaryota; Metazoa; Chordata; Mammalia; Primates; Cebidae.
UGAGAGCUCCAUCCUCAUAACUUAAUCACUUCUGGAAUGUCCUACCUCUUAAUACCACUGCAUUGGUGAUUAGGUUUAGACAUAUAAAUUAUGAGUGUACAUAAACAUUCAGAGCAGUACAGACAGGGUUUUUAAGAGUAUCUAAGAAUAAGGGUUUGAACCCCUGAUUGUUUACAGUGAGUGAAUCAGUCAUUUGACAUUCAUCUUAAUUAAAACUUCUUCUCUGUUCAUUGCUCCUUUUGUACAUCUCCUCAUCUUCUCUUCCAAGAGCCAUCUGCCUAAUCAUCAAAGAAUGCUGCUCUUGGUAUAUUUAUGGAAAAUUCUUGCCUAGGAUUUCAAGGACUUAUCAUCAGGACAUUAAUAAGAGAAAAUAUGUGAUGGAAUAAAAUAUGCUGAAACACAUUGUGAAAAUGUGUAAUGUAAAUAAACCACUCAAUGACAAAAUUCGAAAACAAAAUGAUAAACUAACCUGGUAAGUUUAUGUCUUCCUCUACCCUUGCCACUACUACAAAUGUUUUAGGUUUCUAUUGACAGAAACACGAAGAUUAAAAUCCCAGUUUCAUACAUAUAUUAAUUAAUACUAUGGUUUUAUUGUGUGAUAAUCACUGUUUCUGAAUCUGUUUCAAAUUACAAACAAGUCUCAUAGACAUUAUGCUCCAGAGAACAUACCACUAACACACAGCAGGAUAAUAUCACAGUGAAAGAUUUCAUGAUGAGAACUAAAUAGAACUCCAUGUGGAAAUGCAAACCUCCCUGAUAGGAUGAGAAAAUAUUGUGCUAACACUGCAACCAUAUUCAAUAAAAAGUCUGUCUUAGAAAACUUUCAGCUUUGAGAAAAUUCUUUAGGAGAUUAUCGUGCCUUAUUUCCAAAUGCAUAAUGCUUUAAAUUCAGAAACAAUAACUGCAAUGAGACAGUUAAUUUGUUCCUAACAUUUUGCCCACUUCCUUUUUUGGGAAAAAAUAAACACAGAUAAGAUCCAUACUUUCUACAAGAAGUUCCAAGUAAAACACAGCAUGGGUAGGACAAAAAUAGCAAAACAGAAGUUCUUUGAUACUUUGGGAAGUUUUUCUCUCAUUAAGCAGCACAUCAAGUAAAGAAUAUAUUCAUAAGAUGUUAUAAGAGAAAAAAUGUUAUGAAACCUU